CUUAGCUUAGCGGCGGACGGGUGAGUAAUGCUUAGGAAUCUGCCUAUUAGUGGGGGACAACAUUCCGAAAGGAAUGCUAAUACCGCAUACGCCCUACGGGGGAAAGCAGGGGAUCUUCGGACCUUGCGCUAAUAGAUGAGCCUAAGUCAGAUUAGCUAGUUGGUGGGGUAAAGGCCUACCAAGGCGACGAUCUGUAGCGGGUCUGAGAGGAUGAUCCGCCACACUGGGACUGAGACACGGCCCAGACUCCUACGGGAGGCAGCAGUGGGGAAUAUUGGACAAUGGGCGAAAGCCUGAUCCAGCCAUGCCGCGUGUGUGAAGAAGGCCUUUUGGUUGUAAAGCACUUUAAGCGAGGAGGAGGCUACCGAGAUUAAUACUCUUGGAUAGUGGACGUUACUCGCAGAAUAAGCACCGGCUAACUCUGUGCCAGCAGCCGCGGUAAUACAGAGGGUGCGAGCGUUAAUCGGAUUUACUGGGCGUAAAGCGUGCGUAGGCGGCUUUUUAAGUCGGAUGUGAAAUCCCUGAGCUUAACUUAGGAAUUGCAUUCGAUACUGGGAAGCUAGAGUAUGGGAGAGGAUGGUAGAAUUCCAGGUGUAGCGGUGAAAUGCGUAGAGAUCUGGAGGAAUACCGAUGGCGAAGGCAGCCAUCUGGCCUAAUACUGACGCUGAGGUACGAAAGCAUGGGGAGCAAACAGGAUUAGAUACCCUGGUAGUCCAUGCCGUAAACGAUGUCUACUAGCCGUUGGGGCCUUUGAGGCUUUAGUGGCGCAGCUAACGCGAUAAGUAGACCGCCUGGGGAGUACGGUCGCAAGACUAAAACUCAAUGAAUUUGACAGGGGGCCCGCACAAGCGGUGGAGCAUGUGGUUUUAAUUUCGAUGCA
This 880-nucleotide ribosomal RNA is filed under the name uncultured Pseudomonadota bacterium. RNAcentral describes it as "bacterial SSU rRNA". It matches the Rfam family "Bacterial small subunit ribosomal RNA", at positions 86 to 958 of the family's 1533-position model. Lineage: Bacteria; Pseudomonadati; Pseudomonadota. The record is from RNAcentral.